RNAcentral lists this ribosomal RNA (181 nucleotides) under uncultured bacterium. RNAcentral's name for it is "partial 16S ribosomal RNA". It matches the Rfam family "Bacterial small subunit ribosomal RNA", at positions 1321 to 1500 of the family's 1533-position model. The record is from RNAcentral.
CGAAGCUGGAAUCGCUAGUAAUCGCGAAUCAGAAUGCCGCGGUGAAUACGUUCCCGGGCCUUGUACACACCGCCCGUCACACCAUGGGAGUUUGUAACACCCGAAGUCAGUAUCCUAACCGCGAAGGGGGGAGCUGCCGAAGGUGGGAUAAGCGACUGGGGUGAAGUCGUAACAAGGUAAC